AUACAGAGGGUGCAAGCGUUAAUCGGAAUUACUGGGCGUAAAGCGUGCGCAGGCGGUUUGUUAAGUCAGAUGUGAAAGCCCCGGGCUCAACCUGGGAACUGCAUUUGAAACUGGCAAACUAGAGUGUGGUAGAGGGAAGUGGAAUUCCUCACGUAGCGGUGAAAUGCGUAGAUAUGAGGAGGAACACCAGUGGCGAAGGCGACUUCCUGGACCAACACUGACGCUCAUGUACGAAAGCGUGGGUAGCAAACAGGAUUAGAUACCCUAGUAGUCC
RNAcentral lists this ribosomal RNA (274 nucleotides) under uncultured bacterium. Its description in RNAcentral is "partial 16S ribosomal RNA". It matches the Rfam family "Bacterial small subunit ribosomal RNA", at positions 523 to 796 of the family's 1533-position model. The record is from RNAcentral.